Long non-coding RNA from Helianthus annuus (common sunflower), 296 nucleotides. RefSeq lists it as uncharacterized. The transcript is spliced from 3 exons. NCBI's taxonomy places the organism in Eukaryota, Viridiplantae, Streptophyta, Magnoliopsida, Asterales, Asteraceae. The record is from RefSeq and is a predicted model, not a curated record.
UUGUCUAUGAGGGACAUGGUGGACCGGAGACGUCAAGAUUCGUUAACGAGAAUCUGUUUGCUAAUCUCAAGAGAUUUGCGUCUGAGGAUCAAGAUAUGUCUGCGAAUGUUAUCAAGAUAUAGCGUAACCGGUCUGACAUUCAAGAGGUGUAUUACAGUGAAGAGACACAUAAGUUUUCAGUGUCAGCAAUAGAGGAAAGUGUGAAGUUAGAAGGAAGAAUGACCUUUCCUCUUUGGACAGCACUUACAUAGUUGAUCAUGUGUUUUUCUGUGAACGGUUUUAUGAUCCCGAUAAGG